RNAcentral lists this ribosomal RNA (583 nucleotides) under uncultured bacterium. RNAcentral's name for it is "partial 16S ribosomal RNA". It matches the Rfam family "Bacterial small subunit ribosomal RNA", at positions 355 to 932 of the family's 1533-position model. The record is from RNAcentral.
UGGGGAAUAUUGCACAAUGGGCGCAAGCCUGAUGCAGCCAUGCCGCGUGUGUGAAGAAGGCCUUCGGGUUGUAAAGCACUUUCAGCGAGGAGGAAGGUGGUGAGCUUAAUACGCUCAUCAAUUGACGUUACUCGCAGAAGAAGCACCGGCUAACUCCGUGCCAGCAGCCGCGGUAAUACGGAGGGUGCAAGCGUUAAUCGGAAUUACUGGGCGUAAAGCGCACGCAGGCGGUUUGUUAAGUCAGAUGUGAAAUCCCCGGGCUCAACCUGGGAACUGCAUUGAAACUGGCAAGCUAGAGUCUCGUAGAGGGGGUAGAAUUCCAGGUGGUAGCGGUGAAAUGCGUAGAGAUCUGGAGGAAUACCGGUGGCGAAGGCGGCCCCCUGGACGAAGACUGACCGCUCAGGUGCGAAAGCGUGGGGAGCAAAACAGGAUUAGGAUACCCUGGUAGUCCACGCUGUAAACGAUGUCGAUUUUGGAGGUUGUGCCCUUGAGGCGUGGCUUCCGGAGCUAACGCGUUAAAUCGACCGCCUGGGGAGUACGGCCGCAAGGUUAAAACUUAAAUGAAUUGACGGGGUCAUAGCUG